Molecule: long non-coding RNA, 351 nt
Organism: Rosa chinensis
Lineage: Eukaryota; Viridiplantae; Streptophyta; Magnoliopsida; Rosales; Rosaceae
Exons: 3
Source: RefSeq, a predicted model, not a curated record
GGCCCUCCGGCCUCCUCCGGCCCCGGACCCGGGCUCCCCUGUCAUCGCCGCUCCAAGCCCGACCUCCCUCUGGUGUCGCCUUGCUCCGCUGCUGCCCCAAAAGCUGGAUCGAUGGAGCUCCAGUUCCGUCCGAUCGGACCCGGCCGGAAAACCACUUUUCCGGCUAUGCACUGGCCGAUCGUUCCCAUUUUCGUGAUCUCCUCCUCAUGCUGAUCAUCCCCAUACGGCUGAGAUUAAUCUGAACUUCAAAGCUUGAUCUAGGACGAUCUAGGCCUAACCAGACUUAGCUCCAGGUGAUUGAUGGUCUUCCUUGGUGAGCGGUUUUGGCGUGUUUUGUGAAAUUGAAGACGC